GGGGGCGUAGCUCAGUUGGGAGAGCACCUGCCUUGCAAGCAGGGGGUCAGGAGUUCAAAUCUCCUCGUCUCCACCA
Molecule: transfer RNA, 76 nt
Filed under: Anoxynatronum sibiricum
Lineage: Bacteria; Bacillati; Bacillota; Clostridia; Eubacteriales; Clostridiaceae
Also listed under: 5 other names
Description: tRNA-Ala
Rfam family: tRNA
About the family: Transfer RNA (tRNA) molecules are approximately 80 nucleotides in length. Their secondary structure includes four short double-helical elements and three loops (D, anti-codon, and T loops).
Source: RNAcentral